CACCGCCCGUCACACUAUGGGAGCUGGCCAUGCCCGAAGUCGUUACCUUAACCGCAAGGAGGGGGAUGCCGAAGGCAGGGCUAGUGACUGGAGUGAAGUCGUAACAAGGUAGCCAUACUGGAAGGUGCGGCUG
This 133-nucleotide non-coding RNA is filed under the name Ricinus communis (castor bean). Its description in RNAcentral is "Bacterial small subunit ribosomal RNA". It matches the Rfam family "Bacterial small subunit ribosomal RNA", at positions 1388 to 1520 of the family's 1533-position model. The record is from Rfam by way of RNAcentral. Lineage: Eukaryota; Viridiplantae; Streptophyta; Magnoliopsida; Malpighiales; Euphorbiaceae.